AUGGCUCAGGAUGAACGCUAGCUACAGGCUUAACACAUGCAAGUCGAGGGGCAGCAUAACGAAAGCUUGCUUUGUUGAUGGCGACCGGCGCACGGGUGAGUAACGCGUAUCCAACCUUCCUGUAGUAGAGGAUAGCCCGGCGAAAGUCGGAUUAAUACUCUAUGUUGUAUUUAGAAGACAUCUGAAGAAUACCAAAGGUUUACCGCUAUAGGAUGGGGGAUGCGUCUGAUUAGGUUGUUGGCGGGGUAACGGCCCACCAAGCCCACGAUCAGUAGGGGUUCUGAGAGGAAGGUCCCCCACAUUGGAACUGAGACACGGUCCAAACUCCUACGGGAGGCAGCAGUGAGGAAUAUUGGUCAAUGGACGCAAGUCUGAACCAGCCAAGUAGCGUGCCAGGAUGACGGCCCUAUGGGUUGUAAACUGCUUUUAUAUAGGGAUAAAGUGCACUACGUGUAGUGUUUUGUAGGUACUAUAUGAAUAAGGACCGGCUAAUUCCGUGCCAGCCGCCGC
Molecule: ribosomal RNA, 510 nt
Filed under: uncultured bacterium
Lineage: Bacteria
Description: bacterial SSU rRNA
Rfam family: Bacterial small subunit ribosomal RNA
Source: RNAcentral